UACGAAGGGGGCUAGCGUUGUUCGGAUUUACUGGGCGUAAAGCGCACGUAGGCGGAUCGAUCAGUCAGGGGUGAAAUCCCAGGGCUCAACCCUGGAACUGCCUUUGAUACUGUCGAUCUGGAGUAUGGAAGAGGUGAGUGGAAUUCCGAGUGUAGAGGUGAAAUUCGUAGAUAUUCGGAGGAACACCAGUGGCGAAGGCGGCUCACUGGUCCAUUACUGACGCUGGAGG
RNAcentral lists this ribosomal RNA (229 nucleotides) under uncultured bacterium. RNAcentral's name for it is "partial 16S ribosomal RNA". It matches the Rfam family "Bacterial small subunit ribosomal RNA", at positions 524 to 752 of the family's 1533-position model. The record is from RNAcentral.